Molecule: ribosomal RNA, 463 nt
Filed under: uncultured bacterium
Lineage: Bacteria
Description: bacterial SSU rRNA
Rfam family: Bacterial small subunit ribosomal RNA
Source: RNAcentral
GCACAAGCGGUGGAGCAUGUGGCUUAAUUCGACGCAACGCGAAGAACCUUACCAAGGCUUGACAUACACCGGAAACGGCCAGAGAUGGUCGCCCCCUUGUGGUCGGUGUACAGGUGGUGCAUGGCUGUCGUCAGCUCGUGUCGUGAGAUGUUGGGUUAAGUCCCGUAACGAGCGCAACCCUUGUUCUGUGUUGCCAGCAUGCCCUUCGGGGUGAUGGGGACUCACAGGAGACUGCCGGGGUCAACUCGGAGGAAGGUGGGGACGACGUCAAGUCAUCAUGCCCCUUAUGUCUUGGGCUGCACACGUGCUACAAUGGCAGGUACAAUGAGCUGCGAAGCCGUGAGGCGGAGCGAAUCUCAAAAAGCCUGUCUCAGUUCGGAUUGGGGUCUGCAACUCGACCCCAUGAAGUCGGAGUUGCUAGUAAUCGCAGAUCAGCAUUGCUGCGGUGAAUACGUUCCCGGGC